GACAGCAGCAGCCGCGGUAAUACAGAGGGUGCGAGCGUUAAUCGGAAUUACUGGGCGUAAAGCGCGCGUAGACGGUUUGGUAAGUCAGAUGUGAAAUCCCUGGGCUCAACCUGGGAACUGCAUUUGAUACUGCCUGGCUAGAGUAUCGAAGAGGGAAGUGGAAUUUCCGGUGUAGCGGUGAAAUGCGUAGAUAUCGGAAGGAACACCAGUGGCGAAAGCGACUUCCUGGUCGAAUACUGACGUUCAUGUGCGAAAGCGUGGGGAGCAAACGGGAUUAGAUACCCCAGUAGUCCCUGUCUCUUAUAC
This 306-nucleotide ribosomal RNA is filed under the name uncultured bacterium. RNAcentral describes it as "partial 16S ribosomal RNA". It matches the Rfam family "Bacterial small subunit ribosomal RNA", at positions 505 to 807 of the family's 1533-position model. The record is from RNAcentral.